CAGAGGACUUCAAGUUAACGCCAUUGCCUCAACAGAGAGAGCGUGCUCAUGGGAAAGUGAAAUAACAGGAAACUGACCCCAUCUGGUCUAAUGCACUCAUCAUCUUUAUUAAAUCAAACCGUUUUAAUAUUCCUUUACAUCUGUUGCUAAGGAAUUAAAUACUGAAUAUGAGUACUACAGAAACACAACUAAGAGCGUAACUGUGAACUUGGUGUACUUUUUGGCGUCGAGGUCUGGAAUUGGGCUCAUAGUGUCCCAAGGGUUGGAUUUCUGGAGUGUUUCAUUUCCAGAAAGGUCAAGCGUCCUGCUCUCGUGUUUGUCCAUUUCUGGGGCAGACUCAGACUGAGAGGCUCCAGAUAUGAAAAGUUUCUGCUUGUUUGAAAGUUAGAGUGCUCAGGGGGAAAUCAUCAGGAGAGCGGAAGCUGGUGCUGAGGUGACAGGCGAACGAGUCGGGAAGUGACUUAGGGCUAAGUACUGAUAAGGAACUAUGUUCUAUGUUAAGAACUAAGUUCUUAGUUAAAGAAGGAACUGGUGAAGACUUACCUUUAAUACAGAAGAAUGCAGGUGGAGUUUUCCAUUCGUCAUAUUUAUAUUAAUUUUAGUACAGUGUUUUGUAAAGAAUAAGUAGAUCUUGAACCUUUCUCACAUAGUCACAAACUGUAAUGUAUAUUAAUGGGAUUUUAUGGUCUAUAGAUGUUGUUCAUCUAAUUCAACUCAGCUUGAGCUUUUCUCAAAGAAGAAAAAAUAAGUUCAGUCUUCAGAUGUACGCAGAGCUGGUGGAGACAUUCCACAAAGACUCGCAACUGUAAUUGCAGCAAAACGUGGUUCUACAAUGUAUUGACUCAAAAGGCCUAAUGACACCCUUUUAAAAUGUUUAUUUGUUAAAAAUAUGAAAGCUGUGUAACAGUUUUCUUCCACUUCAUAAUCAUGCACUUUCUUCCAUAAAAUCCCAAUAAUAGACUGAAGUUUGUGGUGGUAAGGUGAUGUGAAAUAGCUCAAGGGGCAUGAACUUGUGUACAUUUGCAAGGUGCAGUAAACUUGGAUGACAGAAAAUU
Poecilia latipinna (sailfin molly) is the source of this 1055-nucleotide long non-coding RNA. RefSeq lists it as uncharacterized. NCBI's taxonomy places the organism in Eukaryota, Metazoa, Chordata, Actinopteri, Cyprinodontiformes, Poeciliidae. The transcript has 2 exons. The record is from RefSeq and is a predicted model, not a curated record.